This 253-nucleotide ribosomal RNA is filed under the name uncultured bacterium. Its description in RNAcentral is "partial 16S ribosomal RNA". It matches the Rfam family "Bacterial small subunit ribosomal RNA", at positions 524 to 776 of the family's 1533-position model. The record is from RNAcentral.
UACGGAGGGGGCUAGCGUUGUUCGGAAUUACUGGGCGUAAAGCGCGCGUAGGCGGCUUUGUAAGUUAGAGGUGAAAGCCCGGAGCUCAACUUCGGAAUUGCCUCUAAGACUGCAUCGCUUGAAUCAUGGAGAGGUCAGUGGAAUUCCGAGUGUAGAGGUGAAAUUCGUAGAUAUUCGGAAGAACACCAGUGGCGAAGGCGACUGACUGGACAUGUAUUGACGCUGAGGUGCGAAAGCCAGGGGAGCGAACGGG